ACAGUCCCUUCAUGUCUGGAGGCAGAGCAGGAAUGUGAUCCAAGUGACCUGACCACUUCCACUCAUCAAGGAGAAAAGGAAUUCCCACAGGCUUUAAAAGGCGGUCACAGUCACAUGAGUGGUCUGGUGAGCUAUGCCUAUAGUGGCACAAGUGGGUUUGCUGGGCUCGUGCCUCUCAGAGGCCACUUGGCAACUUCUCCCGGUGGCACAGCGCUGUCCUUGGACAACUACCUCAAGCUUUCUCAUCAGAGGACAGAGCUCUUGUGUCACCUGAUCUUGUUGCCGGUCAAAACAUCCCUGCAUGUCAGGUGUGCUGGUGCAUGCCUGUAGUCCCAGCUACUCAGGAGGCUGAGGCAGGAGAAUUGCUUGAGCCCAGGAGUUUGAGGCUGCAGUGAACUAUGAUCACACCACCGGACUCCAGCCUGGGUGACAAGCAUUCUAUCAAAAUACAGUGUUUUGGGCGUCCGGCUUCCUUCUGCAACAGACGUGGGUCACGCUCUCUCUGGCUCUCUUUCUGCCGCCAUCUUGAUUCCACGUUCCCUCCACAAAAUGCCUGGCGAAGCCACAGAAACCGUCCCUGCUAUAGAGCAGCAGUUGCUGCAGCCCCAGGCUGAGACAGGGUCUGGAACAGAAUCUGACAGUGAUGAGUCAGUACCAGAGCUUGAAGAACAGGAUUCCACCCAGGUAACCGCACAAGUCCAGUUGGUGGUAGCAGCUGAAAUUGAUGAAGAACCAGUCAGUAAAGCAAAACAGAGGCGGAGUGAAAAGAAGGCACGGAAGGCUAGGUUCAAACUGGGUCUUCAACAGGUUACAGGAGUUACUAGAGUCACCAUCCGGAAAUCUAAGAAUAUCCUCUUUGUCAUCACAAAACCAGAUGUCUACAAGAGCCCGCUUCGGAUACCUACAUGGUUUUUGGGGAAGCCAAGAUUGAAGAUUUAUCUCAGGAAGCACAACUAGCAGCUGCUGAGAAAUUCAAAGUUCAAGGUGAAGCUGUCUCAAACAUUCAAGAAAACACACAGACUCCAACUGUACAAGAGGGCAGUGAAGACGAAGAGGUCGAUGAAACAGGUGUAGAAAUUAAGGAUAUAGAAUUGGUCCUGUCACAAGCAAAUGUGUGGGGAGCAAAGGCAGUCCGAGCCCUGAAGAACAGUAAUGAUAUUGUAAAUGCUAUUAUGGAAUUAACAAUGUAACCAUCUGAAAGCAACUUUUUUGGUGUCUCAGAUGAGUAACUGCAGCUUGGUUUGAAAUUUGUACUGUUUCUAUCAUAAAUAAAGUUAUGGCUUCUUGUUGGAUGAAAAAAAAAAGACAGUAUUUUGCCAAAUUAAACAGAAAAGAGAGUUCAGUGGAAGAUGGCUCUGAUUUCAGGGUAAUAAUAAUGAUUCCCACAAAGGCUGUCCUGGAAAUUCACCAACAUCACCGCUAAAAUGUCUAACCACAUUGUCAACUGUGCUGCCUGGUCAAGGACUGAGGACCUGUCUCAGAGUGAUCUUCCUUAAUCACAGAUCUAGUCAUGACCUGGUUUUGCUCAAAAUGUUUCAAUGGCUCCCGAUUGCCU
Molecule: long non-coding RNA, 1555 nt
Organism: Homo sapiens (human)
Lineage: Eukaryota; Metazoa; Chordata; Mammalia; Primates; Hominidae
Source: Ensembl